GACAACCAGUGCGGAGAAAACAUUUUCGGUACCCUAUACAUGCUCUGCGUGUAGGAAGGAACGCGAAAGGCAACUAGACAAGUACAAGUAGCCUACCAUCAAUUAUUUCAUAAAAUUUUUUCGUUCUACUGAAUGCUUCAUCCUAUUAAUACAGGUCACUAACCCCAGCAUUGACACGCAUUGUUUUUUCCAACAUGUUUCUACAAAUAAAGACAAAGAAAGCUAUGGGAACAUAAUCGGAUACCGACAUAAUCAAGGCCAUCCAUCGUAAUAAUCAUCGUAAUAAUAAUCAGGUUUAUUGCAGCAACUCAGAGAAUUCACAUGAAAAGAUGCAAGGCACAUACCUAUAUUUUUCUGAAUGUUUUACUCAAGCAGUAGAAGCAAUUAACUUUAGUUUAUUGCAUUAAUGUUGGAAUGUUUAUUGAAAUAUUUCCUUUAGUUCAACAUUACUAACUGUUUGAUGCCAAAGUAAGUUGGAACUCUAACUGAAACACUGAUUUUUUUCCAGUUUUCUCAAAAAAUUGUAAGUUGUAUUAUUUUGUCUUGACCCUCCAUACUUGCUGGAAAGCUGCUUGAGUAAUCUAUCUAGUGUCCAUCCCCACUUGAUUCAUUUCGUGCCAGCUGGUUUAAAGGCGUGACGAAUUCAAAUAGCUGCUACGUGCUGUCUGCAAGCAAGCAAUUCAAUUGGCUGUCGCUAGGUGGCGCGAGUGUCUUGAGGGGACUAAAUUCGGCCAUUUUGCACCUUGACGCAGCUGAAGUUGGAUGCCGGUCGUGACGUUUCGCAUGAUGAAAAUAUAAAGAUUAUUUCAAUGCCACUUUGUCAAAUCAUCUAACUCGGACUUGAGUGCCUGUUCAUUUUGCCGAAAUGUCGUGCCUCGUGUGUCCUGCUGCCAGUACCCAGUCGUACGUCUCGUCCCAUGCAAAAGCAAAAGUCUGCUGUUGGUUUACUUGUUGCAGCGAGAUGGUGAAAGGUGUGAUGACGUCUAAUUUAACCAUUGUAUGCAGCGUGUUGUUGCAGUGUUAUCCAGAAGUAGCUGCUCAGUGUGGCAGUAUCCUGAAGCAGCCUGAAGCCUGAAGUUGCCAGUGAUAUCCGGGUUGCUGACUUGGAAAUUUUUCUCUGUUUUCAUUUUUGUGUCUUUUGCUCUGCCAGUGGUAUUCUGAGUUGCAGACUUUACAUCUUUCUAUCUGUUCUCA
RNAcentral lists this long non-coding RNA (1194 nucleotides) under Daphnia pulex (common water flea). RNAcentral describes it as "uncharacterized LOC124193265, transcript variant X7". The record is from RNAcentral. Lineage: Eukaryota; Metazoa; Arthropoda; Branchiopoda; Diplostraca; Daphniidae.